RNAcentral lists this long non-coding RNA (225 nucleotides) under Elaeis guineensis (African oil palm). RNAcentral describes it as "long non-coding RNA (EGUI_LNC042738)". The record is from RNAcentral. Lineage: Eukaryota; Viridiplantae; Streptophyta; Magnoliopsida; Arecales; Arecaceae.
CCGUGGAAGUUCGGAUGGAGACCACUUAUUGUAGAAGCUCGGAUGAAAUUCGGAAGGCGGUCGACCACUGUAGAAACAUGGAUGGAGUCUGGUUACUGUAGAAGUCCUGCUACUGGAGAAGCCCGGACAUUGACGAAGUUCGGAAGAAGCUCGUAAUAAAGUCGAUCGUGACAGGAGAAAGUCUGGAAGAGAUUCAAAGAGUAGUCGAUCACUAUAGAAAAUCGG